UUAAAUUGAAGAGUUUGAUCAUGGCUCAGAUUGAACGCUGGCGGCAGGCCUAACACAUGCAAGUCGAACGGUAACAGGAAGAAGCUUGCUUCUUUGCUGACGAGUGGCGGACGGGUGAGUAAUGUCUGGGAAACUGCCUGAUGGAGGGGGAUAACUACUGGAAACGGUAGCUAAUACCGCAUAACGUCGCAAGACCAAAGAGGGGGACCUUCGGGCCUCUUGCCAUCGGAUGUGCCCAGAUGGGAUUAGCUAGUAGGUGGGGUAACGGCUCACCUAGGCGACGAUCCCUAGCUGGUCUGAGAGGAUGACCAGCCACACUGGAACUGAGACACGGUCCAGACUCCUACGGGAGGCAGCAGUGGGGAAUAUUGCACAAUGGGCGCAAGCCUGAUGCAGCCAUGCCGCGUGUAUGAAGAAGGCCUUCGGGUUGUAAAGUACUUUCAGCGGGGAGGAAGGGAGUAAAGUUAAUACCUUUACUCAUUGACGUUACCCGCAGAAGAAGCACCGGCUAACUCCGUGCCAGCAGCCGCGGUAAUACGGAGGGUGCAAGCGUUAAUCGGAAUUACUGGGCGUAAAGCGCACGCAGGCGGUUUGUUAAGUCAGAUGUGAAAUCCCCGGGCUCAACCUGGGAACUGCAUCUGAUACUGGCAAGCUUGAGUCUCGUAGAGGGGGGUAGAAUUCCAGGUGUAGCGGUGAAAU
Molecule: ribosomal RNA, 699 nt
Filed under: Escherichia coli
Lineage: Bacteria; Pseudomonadati; Pseudomonadota; Gammaproteobacteria; Enterobacterales; Enterobacteriaceae
Description: bacterial SSU rRNA
Rfam family: Bacterial small subunit ribosomal RNA
Source: RNAcentral